Pogona vitticeps (central bearded dragon) is the source of this 442-nucleotide non-coding RNA. Lineage: Eukaryota; Metazoa; Chordata; Lepidosauria; Squamata; Agamidae. The record is from RefSeq and is a predicted model, not a curated record.
CAUUACAAGCCCCUUUAAGAAACUGACAUGACCUGUGCGCUACGUACGAGAUGGAAGGUGGUAAACAGAUCAAAAGGGAGCUCGGAUACAACAAGGAAAACACCAAGUUUGUGAUGUGCAAAGAAACAGAAUUCCAAAAGGCUUGUGCAAUUGCCUCUCUUUCUUUAGAGUGCAAAGAGCAUCUUGAUAGUAUUUAUCCAGAAAAUAUUGGGCUACAUGGAAGGAGCAUCUCUGAAGAAUAUGAGGAAUCGGAACACUUUUGGGAGUCCCCAAUGACAGCGUCCUGUUGGCUGAUUCUUCCACUCCAGAAGCACCACUGGAUUACGUCUGACUCAAACACGUAAAAUUGGCUUCUAAUCUACAAGUCAUGGGAAAGAAGAAAGGGACCUGGAGGAAGGAAGUUUGAGGGUGACCACGGUGGAUAUUGGUUCAUUUCCACAGA